ACAGAGCCCGACACGGGGCUCGAACUCACCAACCAUGAGAUCACGACCUGAGCCAAAAUCAAGAGUCUGGACUGAACUGCCCCCAGGAGAUUUGUGUUUAAUUCAACAGCCCUUUACAAGGUGAGCAUUAAGGUUGCAUAGAAGAGAAAAUCCCUAAGAAUGGCCAAGAAAAUGAUGGAAAAAAACCAGCUGGCUUUCGGAACAUGCUAUAACGUACUUGUCAUUGAAAUAGCAUGAUGGUGUCGGGUAGGAAGGGCCACGUGGAAACUGCCAUGGGAGCGCCUUUCCAGAUAAAGGGGAGGGGCAUGAAGUCCGCAAAUAAAGGUGUUGAUACAGCUGGGGAAACCAGCCUUCGCCUCCCACCAUCGCCCAAAACAGAGCCAGGCAUGGCAGGGAGAUAAGACUGGAAAACAUGGAAAUAAAACCUGGGGCACUUUGAUGACCCUGGGGCUGGGAUGCUCAACCCCAACCAGAAACCACCUAGAGAAAGCAGGAACUGGCCACGGAAGAAACGCUAAUGGUCAAGACACUGUUUGAAAAGAAGCUCCCCCUCAAAGGAAUCAGAGACAGGGAGCCGUGGUGUAGACUGGCGCAGACACAAAGACUGCCGUCCCGAGGAUAGUCACGAUUUGUUACGGCAGCAAGAACGGGGACACGGGGGCACCUGUGUGGCUCGGUGGGUUAAGCGUCCAACUCUUGAUGUGGGCUCAGGUCAUGACCUCGUGGUUCCUGAGAUCCAGUCCCCAGUCAGUGCAGCGCCUGCCUGGGAUUUUCUCUCCCUCUCUCUGCCCUUCCCUCCCCUCAAAAAUAAGUAAACAAACACUUAAAAAGCUG
Molecule: long non-coding RNA, 834 nt
Organism: Leopardus geoffroyi (Geoffroy's cat)
Lineage: Eukaryota; Metazoa; Chordata; Mammalia; Carnivora; Felidae
Exons: 2
Source: RefSeq, a predicted model, not a curated record